UGUUCCCAUACAAUCACUGAAGUUAAGCAACAUCAAGUCUGGUCAGUACCUAGAUGGGUGACCACUUGGGAAUACCAGGUGCUGUAA
This is a non-coding RNA of Acanthosepion pharaonis, 87 nucleotides long. The record is from the annotation of a GenBank genome assembly. Lineage: Eukaryota; Metazoa; Mollusca; Cephalopoda; Sepiida; Sepiidae.